CCUACGGGAGGCAGCAGUGGGGAAUAUUGGGCAAUGGGCGCAAGCCUGACCCAGCAACGCCGCGUGAAGGAAGAAGGCUUUCGGGUUGUAAACUUCUUUUGUCAGGGACGAAGCAAGUGACGGUACCUGACGAAUAAGCCACGGCUAACUACGUGCCAGCAGCCGCGGCAAUACGUAGGUGGCAAGCGUUAUACGGAUUUACUGGGUGCAAAGGGCGUGUAGGUGGGUCUGGCAGUCAGAUGUGAAAACCACGGGCUCAACCUGGGGCUUGGAUCUGAAACUGUAGUUCUUGAGUACUGGAGAGGCAGACGGAAUUCCUAGUGUAGCGGUGAAAUGCGUAGAUAUUAGGAGGAACACCAGUGGCGAAGGCGGUCUGCUGAACAGCAACUGACGCUGAGGCGCGAAAGCGUGGGGAGCAAACAGGAUUAGAUUCCCUUGUAGUC
RNAcentral lists this ribosomal RNA (443 nucleotides) under uncultured bacterium. RNAcentral's name for it is "partial 16S ribosomal RNA". It matches the Rfam family "Bacterial small subunit ribosomal RNA", at positions 338 to 795 of the family's 1533-position model. The record is from RNAcentral.